GGGGGCGGUUAGGUAACUGGUGUGCCUCCUGGUCUUCAAAACCAGUGUAGGGCGCGUUUGCGUCCCGGGUGAGUUCGAUUCUCACACGCCUUC
Molecule: transfer RNA, 93 nt
Filed under: Catonella morbi ATCC 51271
Lineage: Bacteria; Bacillati; Bacillota; Clostridia; Lachnospirales; Lachnospiraceae
Description: Selenocysteine transfer RNA
Rfam family: Selenocysteine transfer RNA
Source: Rfam by way of RNAcentral